UCAAAGUGCACAGAAUUGCAGGAGAAUUUGUAGCCAUUUCAGCUUGUUGAGAUUCAGUAGCAGUAUGCAGUAAGCUGUGUAAUGUGAUAGGCUUUUCAAUAACUAAAUGGACAAUCUCAACUAUACAUAAAAAUUUGAUGACAUACCCUUUUAAAGGUGUCUGGUAAACACCCUUUACCAGACACACUCACACACAAGAUAAAGACGGCUGGUGAGGAAAAGCGUUCACUUGUCCUUCCCUCUAGGAGCUUCCACAAGGCUGGAUAUCUGGUGAAUACUCCUCCAAAAGACCAGCAGCAAUGGAUCAUGAGGCAAAGAGCAGCGCAGCGAGUACAAUGAUGGAGAGAACGAGAGGGGCGGAGUCAGUGACAAGUUGCUAUGACAACAUAUGAUUGAGGAGUUACAAGGUGACACUGUGGAGUUACGUACAACCCAUUGGACGUCUUGCACUGUAGAUAAAGGAACACAAUUAAGAAAUAGUUUAAUCACUGCCUCAUGAAUGGAUGUGUCAAGCACACACAGUGCUCCAACAUCUCUGUGUGUGCUAUUGUAUCCUUCACCCUGCCUACAUGGUGUCUACUCCUAGACUGAGGGAAUGGAGGUAUCAAGCACACACAGUGCUCCAACAUCUCUGUGUGUGCUAUUGUAUCCUUCACCCUGCCUGUAUGGUGUCUACUCCUAGACUGAGGGAAUGGAGGUGGCAAGCACACACAGGAGUAUUGACCUGACUCCCUCCAGGCCUGGUGAAAUGAACCAAUCGUCUCUCUAUUAUAUAUAGCACAUACAGCAGCAAAGUACAACACAUCAGUCAGCAAGAAACCACCUCACCCCAGCAAGGACUGAACACCAGCCCCCGGCAUGUAUCAUGAGGGACGCUGUACAGAGAUGUUAGGGCAAGUUCCUUUAAUUAGAUCGAGAUAUUGUAAUUAUUUCCUUCUUCCAGGUUGUCGGUCGCUAAAUGUGCUUAUAGUUGCCAUGGAGAUGGAGAUGGUAAUUGACUGAAGUCAUGUACCUACCUCUCGAUAGAAGGAAACAAGGAUUUGUCAAUAAUUAUAGUACUGUGAUAAAUAAAUGUUUUGUCAACUUCGAUUCUCUAAGAUCAUAAUUAUUCACAACUAUAAUUAUACUAUUGUUCUUGUUCUUACAAAACUUUAAAUUAUGUUACGUUGUUUCA
Long non-coding RNA from Halichondria panicea, 1174 nucleotides. RefSeq lists it as uncharacterized. The transcript has 8 exons. The record is from RefSeq and is a predicted model, not a curated record. Lineage: Eukaryota; Metazoa; Porifera; Demospongiae; Suberitida; Halichondriidae.